Molecule: long non-coding RNA, 310 nt
Organism: Amblyraja radiata (thorny skate)
Lineage: Eukaryota; Metazoa; Chordata; Chondrichthyes; Rajiformes; Rajidae
Exons: 3
Source: RefSeq, a predicted model, not a curated record
CGUAGUGGUCAAAGUAGUCCCAAUGGUCUGUCUUUGUUCUCGGAGGGGCCCCGCGCCAGGUCCCUGUUUGUUCUCAGCAGCAACCACACACCACACUAUUGGCAAGAUGCAAGGAACAAUACAGGGUGCUCCAGUGUAAACUGCUCCACUGCGCCAUGUUGGUAAACCAUGAAAUAAAAUCAGUCAACGGUGGCCACAGCAAACGGACCACACACCUUCUGUGGGGAGAAGGACGGCUACCGAUUCACGUUCGCGACCAGCAAAUUCUGGUGUUCAUUUAAGAUUUCCAGCAACUCCGCCUCUGCGCCAC